RNAcentral lists this ribosomal RNA (333 nucleotides) under Triticum aestivum (bread wheat). RNAcentral's name for it is "partial small subunit ribosomal RNA". Lineage: Eukaryota; Viridiplantae; Streptophyta; Magnoliopsida; Poales; Poaceae. The record is from RNAcentral.
AUGUAUGCUUUCCGGGGACUUGCGAAUGCACAAUUAUGUUGUUGUGAUGUGACUGCACAAUCAUGUGAUGAUAUAUUGAUUCCAAGUCAAGGAAAUUAUGUUGUUGAUGUGAAGAAUUGUCGGAAGAUUCGAUUUUUAACUGUUAUAUAUACCAUUUUAAUGCAAUAUGACAAUCCCUCCUUAUCAAACAAUGCUCUGCAUGGAGGGGAUGUGUGGCUAGAGGGGGAUUUGAGAUUUCAAAGGGAUUGGGUGGAAGAGGGGGAUUCACCAAAUCCCCUGAAAUCCCCUCCUUCCAAAACCUCCACAAUCCCUUCCUAUCAAAUGAGGCCUUAG